This 288-nucleotide long non-coding RNA is filed under the name Salvia miltiorrhiza (redroot sage). Its description in RNAcentral is "long non-coding RNA (SMIL_LNC009657)". The record is from RNAcentral. Lineage: Eukaryota; Viridiplantae; Streptophyta; Magnoliopsida; Lamiales; Lamiaceae.
GUUUUUGCACUUAUUUUUAUUUUUCUACUUUUAAAUACUUAACCUUUCAUUUUUGUCUCAAAUUUAUCUGAUGACCGAUUUUUUCUUACGCCGGCGCCGAAAAUGCCACUGUGACAGCCGAAACUGAUGAGGUGACAGCCGAAAAUUAACAUGGUGGCACUUUUGUGACAUGUGGAAAAAAUAUUUGAAAAAAAUUAAAAUAAAAAAACAUGUGGAAAAAAAGAAAAAGAAAAUCUCCCCCCACCCAUCCUCUUUUCCUCCUUCCCCCCACCCAAACCCUAAUUCCCC